ACCCCCCCUCCCCCCACCCUCCCUCCCGCCCCUCCCCCACACCCCCGCCCCCUGCCCUUCCCGAGGGCAGCAGCCGCGGCCCGGAGAUAGCGCUGGCGCAGCGCGGGCUCUGCCUGGGCUAGUGGCACCGACUUGGGUAUGUUUCUUAUGAAUAUUACGCGCGGAGCAGCGUCUGAUCGGCAGAAACUAGUGACAUCCUGGCACAGGAGGAAAGUGUCCUGGAGGGAAGUUACACCUUUGACCUAGCAGUGAAAUUAGCUCUGUGGACUCAGGCACGAAGAAGGGUGCCUAGAACUCUGGGUCUCCAGCUCCCAUGUGCCCAUUGCACAGCGUAGACACUCGGCUUGCCCACAGGAAAGACAAAGCUCUGACCCCAGCACAAACGGACAUCCAGGAUAUUCCCAUCCUAAUUAGAGGGGAGGCCCGAGCUUUCCUGGUUCUAUGCCACAACUUUAAAGAGGAUGGUAUUCCUCCCAAACCUCCCUCAACUCCCCAGGUUCUGAAACAAACUCUGCAACAGCACAAGUGCCGCUAAAAGAGAGAAAGGGAGCUUUCGUGCAAUUCCAAGGCGUCCACCGCGGUCCUUCUCAAAGGAAGGUGUUAAAAAUAUAAGUAGUAUGUUUAAACUGUCAGGGAGCCAAAGUGUCACGUUAGAGCAAAAACAAAGCCUGGGGAAAGGGAGAAAUCAGAAAACACUUUGGGCCAGGGUGGCCUCAUGCAUACCAAUGGUUUUUGUCAUUUAUGGCUGGGCAAGAUUUAUGACUCGGCGCCCCAAAGCUGUAAACAGAGCGCAAAACAGCAAACACUUGUUCCUUAUAGCAUAUUGCGGCGGCACAACUUGAAAGGGGGAACCGGGCUGUGUAGGAGGUGACAGCCAGCCGCAAAAAUCCGCAGGGCGGCAUUUUCUCUUCAAACCCGCCGGUCGGAUGUGGCAUUUGAAGAAAGAAGGCGUGGGUCAAUAAUCAACCCGCACUUUCUCCUCCAAAUCGCUGACGCGACUCUAACCUCCUUCUCAACUAAACCAGCCGCAGGGAAGGCCAGCUCUCUGUGAGAACCUGCCCCGAGGAAGGGAUCGUCUGGGCAGAGGACACCCGAGCAAGGGCUGGGGCUCCCGGAGCGCAUACCUUUCCAGAGCGCUGAGACCAAGCCGCGCACACCGCACACCGAGCAGAGCAAACCAUGGGGACUGGACCUGAGGCGCUGAGGAAGAUCUGGUCAGGAGCUCAUCUCGGGCCAGGCCGCAUCCCUCCCCCAACUAAGUCGCUUCUGGGCUUCGGGCUCCACUGGAAGAAUUGGGGCUCAGACUUCUAGUCGAAGGUCUAGUGUCCUGGCAGAAAGACUGCCGGUGUCCCUGCCUCAUGACUGCCAAAAUCUAAAGGACUGGCUUUGGAACAAACGCAGACAAGAUGAUUAAAAAUAAUUUACAAUGGCGGAAAGUUUUUGUUGGUUGGUCAUUGUUUUUUAAGAGAAAAUAUGCUUGUUGAUUUUUGCCUCCAGACAUUAUUCAAACGCAGUUGUGCCCUUUCUAGACAAAUCCCACAGCAAUUCACCUGGCUUCUUCAAAUCCACCGAGCCUUUCUUUGCUGAGAGGACCCCAUGGGCCCCCGAACUUCCUUAGGUCCCCAUGUUUCCUGAUCUGUCAUCCAAGGGGAGUACAAGAAAAGUUUCUCAGCAGUAGAAGAAUAUUUGGAGCAGCAAAGGUGCCUGGUGUUUCCUUUCUACCAUCAAGAGGGUGUACUGCAUAUCUCUGAGGGCCUCAGAGCUCCAAGACCAUCUUUACAGCCAGGGAGGAAGGUGAGGAGUAAUUAUUGGCAAGAACAAGCAUUGAAAUCCCAAAACAAGGAGGCAAAUUACUGAGGAAAUAUACUUGCCUACGAAGGUGAGGUUGGAAUUUUGAAGGUAUAGGGGACCAGCCUUAGCUAUUGUGGAGUGGCUUUAGAUCUUUCCUGGGAGGAAAAACCAACCUGUGCUCUAUAAAAGCAGCUUUUGGCUUCUUACUAUGCAUGCUUUGAUACAUAACCAGCUUGGAGAAUCCAUAGCUAGAUAUUUAUUCAAGCGGCUGGCAGUGAAGUGACAAUAAAAAGAUGCCUCUAACAAACCUCUAUUCCCUUUCUCAUUCUUUCUAGUGAAACUAUAUUAUUUAUGAGUCUUUAACUGGGUCAAAAAUGCACCAGAACUGGGUCAUAAAUCAUAUGAAAUGCUGACAGGUAAUUGAACAGCAAUUAAAGCUUACAUUUUAUUUCCAAAGGGUGUUUUAAAGCACUUGAAAUGGCCUCAGUUAAACAUGGUUACCGCGGAGGCCGGCUGGGGAGGGCAGAAUGAGCCCUUCUGCUCUGGAAAGUAAAUCUCACUCAAAUAGGAAGUGUGACUUGAGGGGUUUUUUUAAGCUAAUAAAAAAAUAAGAAUUUUUAAAACAUCAAAGAGGCAAAUUAAAUUCAGAACUCCUUGUAAGCACCCUUUUUCCUGCUCUAUGAGCAAAGGAAAGUGGGAAUUUCUUUUACCUUCCUAAGGAGUUUGUACUCUUCUCAGGAUUGUGGAAUCCCCAAAGCCCAAUUAGCCUAGGCUUUCUGAGUAAUUUAGAAGCAUACAAUUAGACUCUCUUCUCCCUCCAUCCUGGCUGCUGCUGUUUCUGGGACUCUAAAACCAGAGAGAUGUCUGCCUCUGCUUCCUGAGGACUGUGCCUCCAGCUUCCCUCCAACCCAAGGUGCACAGCCAGUUCUUGAAUUCUCCGUGCUGGGUUGGAGACAUACAGGAAGCACUCAGCACACCGAUGAGAUCCAAGCCUAGCCCCUGUACCGUUCCAAAUUAAAAAAUAACUCAGGAUCCAGGUAAUAAACUCAGCUCACCACCACCCCAAGCCUCUCCUAGGUCUGAGCUGUCUUCCCUCUCUCCCAGGCAGAUGGUGUUCAGGGAAACAAUGGCUCGCCCUCCGGGUCUACUGCCUUAGGUCUGGCUGAGCGGCUGAGCGUGGGGAAGCAUGCCUUGCAACCUAGCACUGAAUAAAGUGGCUGGAAGCAUCAUCAAUAAAAUGGCAGCACAUCUGCACAUUUCCCUCAUCGAUUUUCCUCUCCCAUCUGCUUAGACUGCUCAGAUCAGCCCAAAGCCUCCAUCCCCGACAGGCAAACACAGCUAACCCUGGAGAGAUUCCUCUUCUCAGCCACCAUCCUCCACCCCUUCCAUGAGGUCUUGCUUUCCAAAUGGCACUGGCCUUUACCUCGGCCUAUGCCGGCAGCUGCCGAUGCUGCUGCCGCCACCGAUUCAGGAUCUUUCCUCUGCUGAGUCUCGGCUCCUAGGACUCCAGACCUGCCCGCUACGGUGCAGUGGACAAAGCCAACCUCAUGCUGAAGACUACUGGCCCACCUAGUAACCCCUAAGUUCCCCCCUUCUUUGCACCCUGCAAUACUUUUCAGGGAAUUAAACUCAGAGUUUGAGACACUAAAUGGUUUCAGUUCUAAGUGAGAAACAAAGGAAAAGAAAGGUUGAGGGUCCUGUCCAUGAGCCAGGGUCUCCUUGCUUGACCUUUGUCUCUCACAGCUAUAACUCAUUGUAGAUAUGAACAAUCAACGGAAAUACCUUAAAAUAAAUUCCAUCCUCCUGGUGUGGCCUCCAGUCCCAUCGGCUGGCUAGCUUGCCCAGAACUGCUCCAUGAGCGCUGAGAACUGCACCCGCUCUAAGAGUGCUCUCCGGAGGAGAAGGGGAAGGAGAAGGAGGAGGAAAAGAAAAUGUUGAGGCAGUAGAAGACUGGAUCUUUUCCCAUAGGAAGAACUAUAAUCAGCCCUGUUGAAAGACUGCAGAACACCCGAUACUUGUGAAGGCCUACACAUUGGAAAUACAAGAACUUCUCUCCUGUCAUGGAGAAGCAAAAGGAUCAGAGAAACUGAAAGACAUCAGGCUAUAAGGCAAGUUUCCUCAACCAGGUACUAAGACUGGUGACAAUUUCCAAAGCAGCAGACACCUCAGUGGACAAGCAGCUCAGCCCACACAGCAGCCACAAUGCCCGUGGCCUCUACUUGCUUUUGCCUUGCAGUUUCAUGCAGUGGUUUGUUUGGGUCUUGCAGGAAAAAACAAACACAUCCCCUUCGCCUCCCCUAACCCCAUGUUUGGCUUCACAACUGCUUUCCUCCUGCCCAUUACAGGCUUUGGGGGAGACUCUUUGUCUGCCUCAAGCCCAGCACUGUUGGGCAUGAAGCUGAAGGCAACUCAGCUCCAAAACUCCUCUUAAGUUAAAUAUUGACCAGAAUCUCUUUCAACCUGCUGUAGUUGCCAGGAGCUGGAUAGAGCAAACUCUUCCUAACUGCAUGGUGCAAAGUUCGCCGCAAAGAGUUCUGGCACAUUGCUUACCUCCAAAGAUGUUUAAAUCUGGACCAGGAAUUGUUUCCAGCUUCAGGCCCUCAGGGAAUCGUUUUUUCCUGUGUCCAAGCACUCUGUGGACAAAUAAACAGCAGAAAGUGAACAGUGGCUGCAAGGGAAGGGAGUUGGAGGACCAGAGUUGAAAAUGUGGCCUGUGCGGGUUUCAGGAUAGCCCCGGGGUGAUGCAGACACAGAGGAGUUGCCAGGGCAUUUGUCCAUGCAAUGGCACUCAACUCGAAAUGUUCCAGUCUGCAAAUGACCUGAAGCUGGUGAUUUAUUUUUGUAAAAUAAAUACAUACUCCAUCUCUGCACCCACACUCUCUCCUUUUCUUUCUUUUAUAGGAGGAGGGAGAAAAUGGACUAGAUGGUUAAAGAAGAUAGGAAAAAGGUGGAAGAGGCUUUGCUGGUGGUUCGGAGUCAGCUGGCAGGGCUCCUCACGCACAACUUGGGGAAUGUGAAUGCAUGCUUUAUUUUCUUUUGCCAACAAAGGGAAGCCUUGUCUGGAAGCAUUCAAUCAGGAUUCUCCCGAAACCUCACUAAUAGUGUUCAUUUCUGUUGGUGGCUCAGUUCACAGACUCAGAUCAGUCUUGGGAGGUUUUAUCUCCUGGUUCAUUCAAGUGCUAGGCGGCCACUUUUUGGUCUUGCUGGGCUGGCAGGCCAGUGACUGCUGCUGGAAACUGGGCAAGACUACAGCAGGUUGCUAAACAACAUUCAAUCAAUGCUUAGCAGUCAGGAAUCUGUAAAACUAAAACGCCUUGAUUCUGUAAUCUCACACUUCACAAUAUUUGCAACACUCUCUUGUGCUCUAACCAGGAAAUCUGAUCCUGGAACCCUCAGCCAACUUUCUGGGGGAAGGAUACCCUGAGAAAGAAACAGAGAAUCCACUGGUGAGUUCUGCUGGGACUCUAGUUUAUAUAGCUCUAAUCUUGAGUCCACCACUUUACCCAGAUGUAGGUAACUUCUCAGACUCUGACCUUCUCCAAAACAGACCUCUCCUGCCUUUCCCGCAUCCAUGUGAGAGGGUCUACCAAAUAGCUGAACAAGCCCUCUGACUCUGGGCUUCAGAGCCCCCAGCAUGAUGAGCAAGUGGCAGCAAACUGACAACUGCCUUCUGCCACAACUGCCUGCAGCCUUUAACCUCCAUCCCUGCUGGGGACACAGAAUCCAAGCUGGACCCUUUUCCCUUCUUCACCCUUGCCCUCUGUAUCUUGAAAGGAGAAUCUCCAGCCUCGGGGCUCCUGGCAAGACCGAGCUGGGUGGGGCUUAGACAUCCUACACUUUGCACUUCAAUUUCGCCCCAGAAAGCUCCUCUAUGCCACCAUCCACCGCCGUCACAACCUCCACCACUCAUCAGGCUGAGUAUUAUUAUUAUGGUUAUUAUUAUUGUCGCUAUUUCCUUAUCCCCAAGGCUAAUAUUCUCGGCUGCCGUUCCCCAUAAAUCCUUCAGACUAAUGAGUCAAAGAGAAAGAGAGAUGCUGCCCAGGUCUCUAGCUCUGCAAUGGCCGCCGCCGCCUCGCCCCGUGGCCUCACUCUCCGCGUUUUUGGCGUCCGCUUGCUCCCUCGAUCGCCUGGCGCAGUUGAUUUAUGAAAGCCCGGAAAAUUGAACAAAGCCGCGCGCCCGUCCUGUGGUAUCUCUGCAGCCUUCCUCAGAGUGAAUCAGAACAUUACCAACUGUCUGCGCAUCCGUCCCACUUCAUCACCAAAGCCAGGAUGUGACCACAAAAAAAAAAAAAAAGCUCCCAAACUCACGUUUCCCUGGACACAGCGCACUCCCUGGACUCUCAGGAACCCGGCAGAAAAGCACCAGGACCUAGCCAGAGACCACCAGCUCUGGUUCUCCUCGCUAAAUGGCUCCCUCCUGCUUUCCUGAAGGAGUUAAAAGCCUUUGAAGAUAAAUCUGAGGGUGCGAGUAUUUAAAAAUCAAAUAGAAAUUUGGAGUCUCACUUCUGAGAGAUUCAUUCCUAGUGAGGCCCUGACGACUCCGAUCCAUUCCAGACGAUCCGCAUUAAUUAUUUAAUGAGUCACGUGACCGCAAAGAUUACAAUUUCAAUAUCUCCCUCCAACAGGCUUUAUACCUUUAUCAGCUGCAACCAGGGUCCCUGUUUUUUGUUUGUGUGUGCGUGCGUGUGUGUGUGUGUGUGUGUGUGUGUGUGUGUGUGUGUUUUGUUCCCGAGGCCUCCUGAGUUCAUUCACCCUUGUGCCUUGGGGCAAACAACCGUCAAAAAAUCACAGGGAGAACAUAACAGAGUUAGUCAAUCUGGGAGGAGGAGCAUUGUGGGCAGUAGGGAGCGCACUGCUCUCCAAGUCACCUUGAUAUCCAUCAGCUCCUGAGACCAGUGCCAAUCACCUGUCUGAGUGCCAAGUCUAGGGAAGUUUGGUGACAUAUCUUCCAAGGCAGCUUUGAUGCUACACUGGGCAAGAUCCCUUCUAAAUCCAGGCUAUGCACACCUGUAGCUAUUUACAUCAGGGGUAAGCCCAUGUACAUACCGCAUCCUAUUCUCUUUGAAGAAUAGCUUCUGCUGGGGAAUAAAAUGACUGUGUGCUUACCAUAUCCAUGUCCAAGGUGACACCAAAGGCUCCUCUCAGCCUACACACUCAUAGCAUAAAAACAUGGAGAGGUGGAAUAUUCAGCUGCUUCAGUUUCCUCAUAUGGAAACUGAGAAGAUUGAAUUCAAAUGACUUCCAGAUCUCUUUCAACUUGGACAGUUUUUCAGUCUGGAUUCUCUUUCAGUUCUAGGAAGCCUUUCUAGAGAGAAGACUGGCCUGAAAGAGGAAAGGAUGUGCUUCAUGAAUUUGGAGCCUUCAGAAGAGAUGCCAGAGUUCUCAGCCAGAAGUUGCAGACUAAAAGGUUUUAUGACUUGAUACUAUCAAAGAGGCAUAAUGCACAACUCUUCCUUUUCCUCCCCACUCUUCUCUCCUCCUCUUCUUCCUUCUCCUCCAGAGCUUGUCCUUCCUAGGUCCAAAGCGGUUAUUCUUGAUGCGGUGUGUUGUGGAGAACAGGUAUCAGGAGCCUCAGUUAGGAAAGGUGAGCUUGAGUUCUUCAAUAUGAGAUGGUGCCUGGGAAUGCAGAGACCAGGGAGGUGCCAGAGAUACCCUGCUGCUUGCACAGAACUCAUUCAAGUAGGAAGCCUCGGGUUUCUAAUUAUUUAUUCUUUGGGUUUUUUUCUUUCAUUUUACAGAGUUGCUGAUCUGUUUCUGUGCUGGCCCUGCCAGAAGGAAGGCAGCAUUGAGAAAAACAGCAGUUUGGAAGUUUGGAGGGUUAUGGGACCUCAGGAGAUAUGAUGAUUCCUAUUGCAUGGGGAGAGAGGAGAGAAUGAGGGGAAAUGGGGCACCCUGGGACAGCUGGAUAUAAAGAGGAUACUGUGCAGCAGGCCUUACCCCAUAUAUCUAGGGAAGGACACGUUCCUAUGUGUUACACAGACUUGAAGCCUGAAAGCCUCGCCAAGUUUGGGAAGAAGAGGAGCCCUCUCAAAGCUCAAGAGCCUUCUUGGUCUUUGGAAUAUUUCCACAGUGGAUCAAGCUUGACAAGAGUUCAGCUCAAAUUGAACACACACACACACACACACACUCUCUCUCUUUCUCUCUUUCUCUCUCGCACAAAUUACAUGCACAGUCAGAAUCCAUGUGAACACAGCUAAACCAUUUACAAGGCUUUUUACAUGCAAGGUCAAGAAUCUCAGUCCAGAGGAAAAGCUUAGGAAACACACAAAUCUGUCUCUUAGAUUUUUAAUAUUUUUUAAAUGAAGUUUAUUCUCGGCACAUGGCUUUCUAUACAGCCAUAUCACAAUUUAUACAGUUGCACAUGGGUCUAAAUGCAUCCCCCUCUUCCCAGAGAUAGCUCCCCAGAAUAAGUCAACAAUAUCUUAAUAACAAUAUCUUAAAUAAAUGCAAAAAAGGGAAACAGUCACACCUACCAUCAAAAUCUACAUGUUUUGAGAAUUAAAUAAUCUUGUGAGGUCCACAGUA
Molecule: long non-coding RNA, 8316 nt
Organism: Cavia porcellus (domestic guinea pig)
Lineage: Eukaryota; Metazoa; Chordata; Mammalia; Rodentia; Caviidae
Exons: 4
Source: RefSeq, a predicted model, not a curated record